This 253-nucleotide ribosomal RNA is filed under the name uncultured bacterium. RNAcentral's name for it is "partial 16S ribosomal RNA". It matches the Rfam family "Bacterial small subunit ribosomal RNA", at positions 524 to 776 of the family's 1533-position model. The record is from RNAcentral.
UACGUAGGUGGCAAGCGUUGUCCGGAUUUACUGGGCGUAAAGAGCGCGCAGGCGGUCGUUCAAGUCGCGUGUGAAAGCCCCCGGCUUAACUGGGGAGGGUCAUUCGAUACUGUUCGACUUGAAGGCAGGAGAGGGCAGCAGAAUUCCCGGUGUAGUGGUGAAAUGCGUAGAUAUCGGGAGGAAUACCAGUGGCGAAGGCGGCUGCCUGGCCUGUUAUUGACGCUGAGGCGCGAAAGCGGGGGGAGCAAACGGG